AACGAACGUUGGCGGCGUGGAUUAGGCAUGCAAGUCGAACGAAUGUUAGUUUUGUAGCAAUACAGAGCUAGCGGAAGUGGUGAAAGGGGCAGUAAUGCGUGGGUAACCUACCUUGGGGAUGGGGAUAGCCGUUCUAACGAACGGGUAAUACCCAGCGAUUCGACGGGAGGGCAUCCUUCUGUCGGGAAAUGAGUUUCGCCUCGAGAGGGGCCCACGUGCUAUUAGCUAGUUGGUAGGGUAACGGCCUACCAAGGCUAAGAUGGCUAGCGGGUGUGAGAGCACGACCCGCGCCACUGGCACUGAGACACUGGGCCAGACACCUACGGGUGGCUGCAGUCGAGGAUCUUCGUCAAUGGGCGCAAGCCUGAACGAGCGACGCCGCGUGCGCGAUGAA
RNAcentral lists this ribosomal RNA (394 nucleotides) under uncultured bacterium. Its description in RNAcentral is "bacterial SSU rRNA". It matches the Rfam family "Bacterial small subunit ribosomal RNA", at positions 29 to 412 of the family's 1533-position model. The record is from RNAcentral.